Molecule: ribosomal RNA, 467 nt
Filed under: uncultured bacterium
Lineage: Bacteria
Description: partial 16S ribosomal RNA
Rfam family: Bacterial small subunit ribosomal RNA
Source: RNAcentral
ACGAACGCUGGCGGCGUGCUUAACACCUGCCAGUCGAACGGAAAGGCCCUGCUUUUGUGGGGUGCUCGAGUGGCGAACGGGUGAGUAACACGUGAGUAACCUGCCCUUGACUUUUGGAUAACUUCAGGAAACUGGGGCUAAUACCGGAUAGGAGCUCCUGCUGCAUGGUGGGGGUUGGAAAGUUUCGGCGGUUGGGGAUGGACUCGCGGCUUAUCAGCUUGUUGGUGGGGUAGUGGCUUACCAAGGCUUUGACGGGUAGCCGGCCUGAGAGGGUGACCGGCCACAUUGGGACUGAGAUACGGCCCAGACUCCUACGGGAGGCAGCAGUGGGGAAUAUUGCACAAUGGGCGGAAGCCUGAUGCAGCAACGCCGCGUGCGGGAUGACGGCCUUCGGGUUGUAAACCGCUUUCGCCUGUGACGAAGCGUGAGUGACGGUAAUGGGUAAAGAAGCACCGGCUAACUACGUG